AGCUCUCCGAGUGGUGUGGAUGUUUAUUGGGCCUAAAGCAUCCGUAGCUGGCUAAGUAAGUCCCUUGUUAAAUCCACCGAAUUAAUCGUUGGAUUGCGGGGGAUACUGCUUGGCUAGGGGACGAGAGAGGCAGACGGUAUUUCCGGGGUAGGGGUGAAAUCCUAUAAUCCCGGGAAGACCACCAGUGGCGAAGGCUGUCUGCUAGAACGCGCCCGACGGUGAGGGAUGAAAGCUGGGGGAGCGAACC
Molecule: ribosomal RNA, 247 nt
Filed under: uncultured crenarchaeote
Lineage: Archaea; Thermoproteati; Thermoproteota
Description: partial 16S ribosomal RNA
Rfam family: Archaeal small subunit ribosomal RNA
Source: RNAcentral